AAAUUGUAUCUUGGCUAUGAUGACGCUGGCGGCGUGCCUAAUACAUGCAAGUCGAACGCACAGCGAAAGGUGCUUGCACCUUUCAAGUGAGUGGCGAACGGGUGAGUAACACGUGGACAACCUGCCUCAAGGCUGGGGAUAACAUUUGGAAACAGAUGCUAAUACCGAAUGAAACUUAGUGUCGCAUGAUACGAAGUUAAAAGGCGCUUUGGCGUCACCUAGAGAUGGAUCCGCGGUGCAUUAGUUAGUUGGUGGGGUAAAGGCCUACCAAGACAAUGAUGCAUAGCCGAGUUGAGAGACUGAUCGGCCACAUUGGGACUGAGACACGGCCCAAACUCCUACGGGAGGCUGCAGUAGGGAAUCUUCCACAAUGGGCGAAAGCCUGAUGGAGCAACGCCGCGUGUGUGAUGAAGGCUUUCGGGUCGUAAAGCACUGUUGUAUGGGAAGAACAGCUAGAAUAGGGAAUGAUUUUAGUUUGACGGUACCAUACCAGAAAGGGACGGCUAAAUACGUGCCAGCCGCCGCGGUAAUUCGUCGUGACUGGAAAA
This 548-nucleotide ribosomal RNA is filed under the name Leuconostoc sp. RSJ1. RNAcentral's name for it is "bacterial SSU rRNA". It matches the Rfam family "Bacterial small subunit ribosomal RNA", at positions 36 to 538 of the family's 1533-position model. Lineage: Bacteria; Bacillati; Bacillota; Bacilli; Lactobacillales; Lactobacillaceae. The record is from RNAcentral.